GGUGGCUCAAUGAUAGAGUACUUGCCUCGCAUGCAUGAGGCCUGAGUUCGAUUCCUCAGCACCA
This 64-nucleotide transfer RNA is filed under the name Dipodomys ordii (Ord's kangaroo rat). It matches the Rfam family "tRNA". Rfam says of the family: Transfer RNA (tRNA) molecules are approximately 80 nucleotides in length. The record is from Rfam by way of RNAcentral. Lineage: Eukaryota; Metazoa; Chordata; Mammalia; Rodentia; Heteromyidae.